Molecule: non-coding RNA, 26 nt
Filed under: Homo sapiens (human)
Lineage: Eukaryota; Metazoa; Chordata; Mammalia; Primates; Hominidae
Source: RNAcentral
UGACAGGAAAAUGGCCAGUGAAAACC